Molecule: unclassified non-coding RNA, 588 nt
Filed under: Hevea brasiliensis (rubber tree)
Lineage: Eukaryota; Viridiplantae; Streptophyta; Magnoliopsida; Malpighiales; Euphorbiaceae
Source: RNAcentral
GUUCUCUGGAAAAAUAGUAGUUGAGGUACAUUGGUAUGCGUUUUCAGACGGGCAGGCAUGGAAAAAUGGGAACUCUAACCAAGUGUGUGGAAGAGUAGUGAGUAAUAUGAUGAGGGUAUCAGGGUUUUUGUUAGACCAAGGUUGGCCAUUGUUUGUGAGUGAGUUUGGAGUGGAUCAAAGAGGUACAAAUGUGAAUGAUAAUAGGUACUUGGGUUGCUUCCUAGGUGUGGCAGCUGAACUUGACUUGGAUUGGGCUUUGUGGACACUAGCUGGGAGUUAUUAUCUCAGGGAAGGUGUGAUUGGUUCAAAUGAGUUUUAUGGGGUGUUGAAUUGGAAUUGGUGUGACAUUCGGAAUUCAAGCUUCUUGCAACAAAUAUCUGCCCUCCAAUCUCCUUUUCAAGGUAUAUUGUUGCAAAAAUGAUUAGAGGGACAGAAUCAUGCUUUCAUUCCUACACCAGUGUGAAUUUUGCAUAGGACGUGGGUUUCAUAUAUGGAGUUUGAGAAUAUUAGGACAGGCUUCAAUCCUGCAUAAUUAUCUUUCACGUUUGUAACAUCUGGCUAGCUCUCCACUAAUUGGUACUAUAUCCC